GACGAACGCUGGCGGCGUGCUUAACACAUGCAAGUCGAACGGUAAGGCCUCUUCGGGGGUACACGAGUGGCGAACGGGUGAGUAACACGUGAGUAACCUGCCCUUGACUUUGGGAUAACAUCUGGAAACAGGUGCUAAUACCGGAUAUGAGCUUGUCCUGCAUGGGAUGGGUUGGAAAGCUCCGGCGGUCAUGGAUGGACUCGCGGCCUAUCAGCUUGUUGGUGAGGUAAUGGCUCACCAAGGCUUCGACGGGUAGCCGGCCUGAGAGGGCGACCGGCCACAUUGGGACUGAGAUACGGCCCAAACUCCUACGGGAGGCAGCAGUGGGGAAUAUUGCACAAUGGGCGGAAGCCUGAUGCAGCAACGCCGCGUGCGGGAUGACGGCCUCGGUUGUAACCGACGUUCUAGCAGGACGAAGACGUGAGUGACGGUA
Molecule: ribosomal RNA, 433 nt
Filed under: uncultured bacterium
Lineage: Bacteria
Description: bacterial SSU rRNA
Rfam family: Bacterial small subunit ribosomal RNA
Source: RNAcentral